Molecule: long non-coding RNA, 262 nt
Filed under: Elaeis guineensis (African oil palm)
Lineage: Eukaryota; Viridiplantae; Streptophyta; Magnoliopsida; Arecales; Arecaceae
Description: long non-coding RNA (EGUI_LNC056549)
Source: RNAcentral
UGGUAUGAGUGGUCCUUUGACCUAUGGUGUCAUUGGCUAUUCACAGCGAGGCUACUAGAUUUGACUGCAUGUUCUCUUGGUCUCUAACCAUUCGGGUCCUUGCUGUGUAUGUUGGCUUCAGUAGGUUCAGGUUCGCUGUUUGGAGUAGGAUGCACCUAGAUGGGAUCUAUCAACCUUGAUAGAAAAGGAGAAGUCCUAUGCGAUUUGUGAGAUUGAGUUCAGAAAGUUUUUGACUAAAAUAAGUGUGAAUACUAGAAAAAAG